This 253-nucleotide ribosomal RNA is filed under the name uncultured bacterium. Its description in RNAcentral is "partial 16S ribosomal RNA". It matches the Rfam family "Bacterial small subunit ribosomal RNA", at positions 524 to 776 of the family's 1533-position model. The record is from RNAcentral.
GUCGGGGGAUGCAUGCGUUAUCCGGAAUCACUGGGCGUAAAGCUUCUGUAGGUGGUGAUGCAAGUCACUGGUGCAAAACUCUGGCUCAACCGGAGGAAAGCCAGUGAAACUGCAUGACUAGAGUGUGGGAGAGGUAGAAGGAAUUCCCUGAGUAGCGGUGAAAUGCGUAGAGACAGGGAAGAACACCGGAGGCGAAAGCGUUCUACUGGAACACAACUGACAAUGAGAGACGAAAGCUAGGGGAGCGAAUGGG